UACGUAGGGUGCAAGCGUUGUCCGGAAUUAUUGGGCGUAAAGAGCUCGUAGGCGGUCUGUCGCGUCGGCUGUGAAAACCCGGGGCUCAACUCCGGGCCUGCAGUCGAUACGGGCAGACUAGAGUGCGGUAGGGGAGACUGGAAUUCUGGUGUAGCGGUGAAAUGCGCAGAUAUCAGGAGGAACACCGGUGGCGAAGGCGGGUCUCUGGGCCGUAACUGACGCUGAGGAGCGAAAGCGUGGGGAGCGAACAGG
RNAcentral lists this ribosomal RNA (252 nucleotides) under uncultured bacterium. RNAcentral's name for it is "partial 16S ribosomal RNA". It matches the Rfam family "Bacterial small subunit ribosomal RNA", at positions 524 to 776 of the family's 1533-position model. The record is from RNAcentral.